RNAcentral lists this RNase P RNA (571 nucleotides) under Treponema sp. RNAcentral's name for it is "RNase P RNA component class A". It matches the Rfam family "Bacterial RNase P class A". From Rfam's summary of the family: Ribonuclease P (RNase P) is a ubiquitous endoribonuclease, found in archaea, bacteria and eukarya as well as chloroplasts and mitochondria. Its best characterised activity is the generation of mature 5'-ends of tRNAs by cleaving the 5'-leader elements of precursor-tRNAs. Cellular RNase Ps are ribonucleoproteins. Lineage: Bacteria; Pseudomonadati; Spirochaetota; Spirochaetia; Treponematales; Treponemataceae. The record is from RNAcentral.
GCGAUGAACCUGACCGCCGCGCUAUGUAAACAACGCUGUUUAUGUAUCGAGGAAAGUCCGGGCUCCGCAGGGUAUGAUGCCGGGUAACGCCCGGGCGGGAAGCCGGUGGCGGGGGAGCGAUCCCCCGGCGCCCGGUUUGCCGACAGAAAGCGCAACAGAAAGUAUACCGCCGAAAGGACGCCGUUCCGGCGUCCCCGGGGGACUUCAGGUCUUCCGGAAAGGCGUAAAGAGACGGGCCCGAAAGGGCCGGGUUUUUUACGCCCGGUAAGGGUGAAACGGCGGGGCAAGAGCCCGCCUCGGCCGCGGUAACGCGGCCGGAACGGCAAGCCUCAUCAGGAGCAAAGUCAAGCGGCGUGCGAAGGGGAAACCCGUUCGCGGGUAAAGGGCGGGGCCUUAAGGUCCCGGUUCUUCACCACGGAACUGCCCGUUCCGGUUAAACGCGGGUAGACUGCUGUUGACGCCGCCGGUGACGGCGGCGCGAGACAGAUGGCGGUUUUUCCCUGUUCUCCAGGAAACAGCCGUUUUCGGGAAGCGGGGAACUACAGAACCCGGCUUACGGUUCAUCGCUUUU